AUGAAAACGCAGCGAAAUGCGAUACGUAAUGUGAAUUGCAGAAUUCAGUGAAUCAUCGAGUCUUUGAACGCACAUUGCGCCCCCUGGUAUUCCGGGGGGCAUGCCUGUCCGAGCGUCAUUGCUGCCCUCAAGCACGGCUUGUGUGUUGGGCCUCCGUCCUCCUCCCGGGGGACGGGCCCGAAAGGCAGCGGCGGCACCGCGUCCGGUCCUCGAGCGUAUGGGGCUUCGUCACCCGCUCUUGUAGGCCCGGCCGGCGCUUGCCGACACAUCAAUCUUUUUUCCAGGUUGACCUCGGAUCAGGUAGGGAUACCCGCUGAACUUAAGCAUAUCAAUAAGCGGAGGA
RNAcentral lists this unclassified non-coding RNA (343 nucleotides) under soil metagenome. RNAcentral describes it as "partial contains 5.8S ribosomal RNA, internal transcribed spacer 2, and large subunit ribosomal RNA". The stretch from base 4 to 118 matches the Rfam family "5.8S ribosomal RNA", at positions 40 to 154 of the family's 154-position model. The record is from RNAcentral.